GAUGAACGCUAGCGGGAGGCCUAACACAUGCAAGCCGAGCGGUAGAGUUUCUUCGGAAACUUGAGAGCGGCGCACGGGUGCGUAACACGUGUGCAACCUACCUUUAUCUGGGGGAUAGCCUUUCGAAAGGAAGAUUAAUACCCCAUAAUAUAAUGAUUGGCAUCAAUUAUUAUUGAAAACUCCGGUGGAUAGAGAUGGGCACGCGCAAGAUUAGAUAGUUGGUGAGGUAACGGCUCACCAAGUCAAUGAUCUUUAGGGGUCCUGAGAGGGAGAUCCCCCACACUGGUACUGAGACACGGACCAGACUCCUACGGGAGGCAGAAGUGAGGAAUAUUGGACAAUGGGUGAGAGCCUGAUCCAGCCAUCCCGCGUGAAGGAUGACGGUCCUAUGGAUUGUAAACUUCUUUUGUACAGGGAUAAACCUACCCUCGUGAGGGUAGCUGAAGGUACUGUACGAAUAAGCACCGGCUAACUCCGUG
RNAcentral lists this ribosomal RNA (479 nucleotides) under uncultured bacterium. Its description in RNAcentral is "partial 16S ribosomal RNA". It matches the Rfam family "Bacterial small subunit ribosomal RNA", at positions 28 to 507 of the family's 1533-position model. The record is from RNAcentral.